Long non-coding RNA from Alligator mississippiensis (American alligator), 4862 nucleotides. RefSeq lists it as uncharacterized. The record is from RefSeq and is a predicted model, not a curated record. Lineage: Eukaryota; Metazoa; Chordata; Crocodylia; Alligatoridae. The transcript is spliced from 7 exons.
AUAUUAACCUGGACAUCAUGCCUUCCAAACAUUAAAUGAGCUGAGCGAUGUUUUAUUACAUUUCUCAUGUGGCUAAGCUUAGUGCAGCUUUUAAGUGUUCCUUGGUAUGCCGUGCUUACGCAAGUUAUUUUCUGCUGUGGAUUGUUGAUGCUGCAGCAGCAGAUAGAAUGAUGUGCCUUGAAUUCCAAUGAGGAGAAGGGGGGGCUUUUUGAAUAAAGAGCAGUCUCAGGAGAAAGCUGAUCAAGAAUCCUUACAAUGAACCGCAGCCUCAGGGAUGCAGCCCUUUGGAAUGCCUCUCUGUUAUCUGUUUACUCUGAACAGCCAGGAAUGGCAGGGGAGGAGUGACACAGCAGUGGUUGUCCUUGUGACUGCAAGUGCUAGCGAUGCUUUGUUUUGAAAGAUUAUUUGGAAAAGAGUGAGGAUGACAUCACUGGCCCAGGCACCCAAGGAAGAAGCAGCCCGGGGAAUGGCCUCCACAGCAGAGUGGCAGACGGUCACAGCCAGGACCGGAGCAGCUCGCAGCAAACCGGUACCAGCUUCUCCAGUCCGACUGGUGAACAGAACAAGAGAUCCACAAGGACCCAGAGGAGGAGGCGAUGAGUGCUCGUCAUAGGCGACUCCAUCCUGAGAGGUACGGAAGGACCCAUCUGUCGCCAGGACCCCUCGGCACGAGAGUGACCGGACAAGGAAGAUGGCAGGAGAACUGCAUCAGAGAGACCAACUGGUGGCUUCGGCAGUAGUGUCUUGAGGCAGGCUUCGGCUUCCUGGAUAAUGACCCGCACAUCACGAUGAGGGACAUGCUCAGCUGGGAUGGGCUUCACCUGUCCCCCAAAGGUUCCUGGUGGAUCCAAUCCUUUCCGAAAACAUCAGGAGUCCAUGGCUCUGUUGCAGAUGAGUAUUUUAGCUUACUUGGGCUUACGUUAUUUCCGAAGGCCCCUUCCUAGGGCUGCUAACUUUCUCUCAGUGUGGCUUUGCUCUGCUCUGGGUCUGCCAGAGAACCUACUUUCAGUUCCUCCUGCCCACUGUCCAUUGGGGUUUUUAUUCCCCUUUCAAGGGGCCAGCCAGCGAAUCGGAACCAGCACGCUGCCAUAAAACACGCCCAUGCUGGCACGGGAGCUGGUCCCGGCUCCUCCCAGACCGGUUGCUCUCUUUUUUUUUCUUUUUCCAAUGCAGCAUUUUUCCUGGCUGUGGCUUUGCUCCUGCCACGCUUCCCCCUUGGCAUGGCCUCCUGCCAGCUCCAUUUGUCUUUCUCUUUAGGUAAGUCUUCCUCCAUGGCCUUGUUCUUGGCUUGGCAAAUCUUUACUGAAAACACUUCCCAGCCUGAAGAGGAUAGUAUGAGAGGAGGCACAAAGGGGAACUGAAAGGAAAUUGAACUAAUGAUCAUAACAGCUGGCAAUUAUUUUAUUUACUGGAUUUAUAUACCACCCUCCCCCAAAAAGGUACAGGAUGGUUUACAAUGAAAACGAGAUAAAAUGUAUAAUUUUUUCACAUAAGUUUAUGUUAAAAAAAAGAAGCCCCACACUGCUGUCAGAGCAGAGACAAGGAGUCAGGAGCUCGGUAGUGUAUAAGUUAUAAGUAUCAGGAUGGAGUUAGGAUCUAAGGAGCCUUGUAAGGGAAGGCCACUGAGUUAUGUUUGGUCCAACAGAGAAGCCAGUGGAGGGAUACAAUCUUAGAUCUGCAUUAAAAAUGGUAAACUAGUGGUGUCUAGGUCAUGUAAUCCCAUAGGCUGCAUCCGGAUUGCAGGGCUUCCUGUGAAUGGGAUGAUCAGUGAGCAGAUGCUUUUUCAGUGAAGCUAUUGAAACCUAGGAAGUUAACACUGUUACUGCUUGCUUCCCACUCUUUAUCACCAAAAGACACUAAAAACCCUGAUUUGGAUGGCAGGUAAGGGGGACCAAGGAGGCAAGCAGCAUUAACCCAUGGGUCCCAAUGCUGUGCCAAAACAGCCAGUAAUAUUGCCACUGCUGCAGGAGCUCCAGCAGCUAGGGCAAUGAGCCCUGCAGCCAAAUCCAGCCUGCAGAGGUUGGUGGUCCAGCUUGUGAGGGGCCCAUGGGCUGAGUAACCCAACCCCCCUGGGCUUGACCCAGCCCACAGGCUACAUUUUGUUACCCUAGCUUUAUAUGAUGCAUGAAGCAGAACAGAACCCUGUCCAUUCUCCCAAAACUUGUUGAGUUUCUGGGGGCUAACAAGCAAAAACUCAACAAAGUAUCAAAGUAGCAAUGCCCACAGGUUGUUUUUUUUUUUCCUUUUCCCUUAUACCAGACUAAUGGUAUGUGUUCACUGUAAAAUGAAGGUAUUAUUAUAGCAUGUGCUAGCAUACUAGUACCAGCUUAAUUUAGCUAGCAUGGGUAACAGUAACAGUGAAGAUGCAACAACAUAGACCCCAACAUCACAUCCCAGGUUCCCUGGGGGAUGUGUACUCUGGUUGAUAAUGAAUGCUCAACCUGUAAGGCCAGGUCUUCACUGCUACCAUUGCCCAGACUAGCUGGUACCGCUAUGCCAGUAGUGUCAAACUUACCUGGACCAGACUGUAUGUGGACUGCAGGGUUUCUUGUGGGCCAUAUCUGGACCAUGAAGAGCCUUAUAGGGCAGAUUCAGACCAGCAGCAGGAUCAGCGGCACUGGGGCAAAUAGCGGUGGUGGUCCUCCCCCUUCUCCCCCAUAUGUAUUCCCAAUGAGGCUCUAUAGCUGGGAAAUUGCCUGAAUCUGAAGCCCCUUUAGGAGACCUGUGGGCUCAGUGAAACAACUUCAAGGGCUGGAUCUGGCCUGCAGUGUGGAUCUUUGAUACCAGUGAGCUAUGCAAACACAUGCCACAGUGACAGCUUCAUUUUGCUGUGUGGACUCACCCUAAAACAGUAGAUGAACAUUAUUGUAGUGUAAGGCUGGCAUAAGAAAUAAAAUAAUUAUGCCUGAUGGAAGCAAGUCCUCUUGAGUAAGGAAGUUACUAUUUUUAUACAGUCACUUUCCAAUGCAGAAAGGCAAUAUAAACAGCUUUGAAAAUGCUGACUUCUACACACUUUGCACAACUGCAUAUGGUGAUAAAGUAAAUUUAGGGCUUGUAACAUGCAGUUGUUGACAUGUAUUGAGCUGCUGAAAACAAAUUAUCUUUCAUAUUGAACAGGUCCAGCACAGACAGCAGCAGAAAAAGCAAUCCCUGCCAAUAUGCUUCAGCCUCAUUCAAGAGAGAGAUUUGUCCAGAGUAAAGAAAUGAUUUAAUUCUGGGCUCAUCCCAUUCUUUGUCUCUUUUCCAGUGACAACCAACAAGGGCAGCGAUCAGUGUGGUGGGAAUAUCUGUUCCCUCAAAACUCCUCUGAGGUUACCCAGCACACUUCAUACAAACCAUCACAGCCUUCAUAUUAUGGUAAUCUGCAGCCACUGCCUCACCUGGCACUGACUUGGAGCCUGUGUGUAUUACAAGAUUUGACAGCAAAUAACUACUGCCACAGGGAAGCUGGCAAAGUGUGUUCCCACCCACACAGCUUCCGGUGGUUGCACGUGGCUCCAAUACAACCAGUGUGCCUGCAAGGGCCAGAUCUGCUAACAAGAAGUGUGGACAUGUCUGUACACGCAGUCUGCAGCUUUGUUUAGGUGGAGAGUCCUUCUGUUGCUCACACAGCAGACAUUGCUCUGCUGGCAGAACAAGGGGGAGCUGUACGUAUGGAUACAGUCAAAUUUUUGCUGGGAGGUUUAGCUGGAAAAAUUAUCAGGCCUUAAACCUCUAAGAAGAGGAAAGAUGGGCUCUGAAUUCCAUUUCAGAAUAUAUCAAAUAUUAUAAAAGCCUUAAUCUGUUUGUCCAUAAUGCUUUAUUCAUGCUCUGAUUGGCUGACAAACAGCCAAUCAGAGUGUGAAGAAGCAUUUGGACAUUCUUGAUGGGCAAUUGGCUAGUAUCCCAAUAUAUUCCCUAUUUCUGUUAAUUGGCAUCACUGAUGCAGCACCAAGCAGUAGUGAAAAGGUCAUUUCAGUGCUGUAUCAACCUAGUUAAGCUUCCAACAAAUGCCCUUCUCAUAGUGUGCUGAAAGUGUCAUGGUUUUCAUUAGUGCUUAUUAAAAACACUACAAUUCUGUCCUCCAGGUGCAUUACAUUUAGAGUUAUGAGCAUUUACUGAACCCAGGCAAGUACCUUUCUGCUGAAAAUGGCAGUUUUAAAUGUCAAUAACUUGUAAGUGGGCUGAGGGAAAAGGCCUGUACGUGCACAAAUGAAUAAUGAUUUUGACUACUGUAGGUGGACUCUGCAUACAAGAGCAGAAAGUCUACAGGAUCUAGUUUUCUUUCUAUAGAAUACAGAAAGGAGCACUGUGAAACCAAAUCUUUAAAUGCACAUAACUGACAUAAAAGGCCCUAUUACUGUAUCUAAUUUAUUACUAUAAGAACUGUCCUUGUGUUCUCAAUUUAUAUUUUCUGCCAGAAUCAAAUCAACUUUCUUUUGGAAGAAUGCAAUAGCAUGAUGGUCUUGACCAACCAUUAUAAUCUGUAUGACUGUGUUACUGAAAGCAGAGAUACUGGGCUGGAGAUGUAGGAUCCAUUUAACAGGAAAAGACAGUUCUUAACAGCAUGACAGGGUAUUACAGUUGUCACUCAUAUGUCUAUUAUGAAGAGCUGUUUGUAUACCCAUUAUGCAAUUGAACUGAGUGAUUAAAGGUUUCUUCUGAAAUGAAAAUUAUUAUAUGAGAUUUGUUCACACAGGGAAUUGAUAUUUUACAUAGUGGGGCAGGGCAGGGUGUUCAUCUUAAAACAACUUGUUUUUAUACAAUCCACUUCUUUUUCUUAAUUACCUGGCUAGUUCUUGCAAAUUGGAAAAUCCAUCUUUCAAAUGGAUUCAAUUCAUUUCAGAAUAAAUUAGUCCUGGAAAAGUUUCAUGUGGGCAGAC